This 497-nucleotide ribosomal RNA is filed under the name uncultured bacterium. RNAcentral's name for it is "bacterial SSU rRNA". It matches the Rfam family "Bacterial small subunit ribosomal RNA", at positions 28 to 524 of the family's 1533-position model. The record is from RNAcentral.
GAUGAACGCUAGCGGGAGGCCUAAUACAUGCAAGUCGAACGGUAAGGUCCUUCGGGAUACACGAGUGGCAAACGGGUGCGUAACGCGUACGGAACAUGCCUCUAUCAGAGAGAUAGCCCUGGGAAACUGGGUAUAAUACCUCAUAGUAUUGUAUUGCCGCAUGGUAUUUACAAUUAAAGCUCCGGCGGAUAGAGAUUGUCGUGCGUCCCAUUAGCUAGUUGGUAAGGUAACGGCUUACCAAGGCGACGAUGGGUAACUGGUUUGAGAGGAUGAUCAGUCACACUGGAACUGAGACACGGUCCAGACUCCUACGGGAGGCAGCAGUAGGGAAUAUUGGACAAUGGACGCAAGUCUGAUCCAGCCAUCCCGCGUGCAGGAUUAAGGCCCUCUGGGUUGUAAACUGCUUUUAUUAGUAGAAGAAAACCUCAGAUUUAUCUGAACUUGACGGUAUCUAAUGAAUAAGCACCGGCUAACUCCGUGCCAGCAGCCGCGGUAAU